AUUGAACGCUGGCGGCAGGCUUAACACAUGCAAGUCGAACGAGCGGCGGACGGGUGAGUAAUGUCUGGGAAUCUGCCUUAUGGAGGGGGAUAACUACGGGAAACGGUAGCUAAUACCGCGUACCAUCGGAUGUGCCCAAGUGGGAUUAGCUAGUUGGUGGGGUAAUGGCUCACCAAGCCGACGAUCGCUAGCUGGUCUGAGAGGAUGACCAGCCACACUUGGACUGAUACACGGCCCAGACUCCUACGGGAGGCAGCAGGGGGGAAUAUUGCGCAAUGGGGGCAACCUGACGCAGCCAUGCCGCGUGAAUGAAGAAGGCCUUCGGGUUGUAAAGUUCUUUCGGUAGCGAGGCGUUAACUACAGAAGAAGCACCGGCUAACUCCGUGCCAGCCGCCGCGGUAAUUC
RNAcentral lists this ribosomal RNA (405 nucleotides) under uncultured bacterium. Its description in RNAcentral is "partial 16S ribosomal RNA". It matches the Rfam family "Bacterial small subunit ribosomal RNA", at positions 30 to 526 of the family's 1533-position model. The record is from RNAcentral.